RNAcentral lists this ribosomal RNA (506 nucleotides) under uncultured bacterium. Its description in RNAcentral is "partial 16S ribosomal RNA". It matches the Rfam family "Bacterial small subunit ribosomal RNA", at positions 29 to 523 of the family's 1533-position model. The record is from RNAcentral.
AGUGAACGCUGGCGGUAGGCCUAACACAUGCAAGUCGAACGGCAGCACAGAGUAGCUUGCUCCUUGGGAGGCGAGUGGCGGACGGGUGAGGAAUACAUCGGAAUCUACUCUGUCGUGGGGGAUAACGUAGGGAAACUUACGCUAAUACCGCAUACGACCUACGGGUGAAAGCAGGGGACCUUCGGGCCUUGCGCGAUUGAAUGAGCCGAUGUCGGAUUAGCUAGUUGGCGGGGUAAAGGCCCACCAAGGCGACGAUCCGUAGCUGGUCUGAGAGGAUGGUAAGCCACACUGGAACUGGGACACGGUCCAGACUCCUACGGGAGGCAGCAGUGGGGAAUAUUGGACAAUGGGCGCAAGCCUGAUCCAGCCAUACCGCGUGGGUGAAGAAGGCCUUCGGGUUGUAAAGCCCUUUUGUUGGGAAAGAAAUCCAGCUGGCUAAUACCCGGUUGGGAUGACGGUACCCAAAGAAUAAGCACCGGCUAACUUCGUGCCAGCCGCCGCGGUAA